GUCCAAGGAUGGAAAUCGAACCCACAAUGUUCCGCUUACCGGGCAGAUGCCAUGUCCACUCCACUAGGCUACCCUGGA
Cordylochernes scorpioides is the source of this 78-nucleotide non-coding RNA. NCBI's taxonomy places the organism in Eukaryota, Metazoa, Arthropoda, Arachnida, Pseudoscorpiones, Chernetidae. The record is from the annotation of a GenBank genome assembly.